GUGCUCACUUCGGCAGCACAGAUACGAAAACUGGAACGAUGCAGAGAGGAUUAGCACGGCGCCUGCGCGAGGAUGACACGCAAAUUUGUCAAGUGUUGCUGGGUGGU
RNAcentral lists this small nuclear RNA (107 nucleotides) under Neotoma lepida (desert woodrat). The record is from RNAcentral. Lineage: Eukaryota; Metazoa; Chordata; Mammalia; Rodentia; Cricetidae.